AGCAGAGAGAAAGAGAGUGAGCAGGAGGGAAGCAGGAGCUUCAGCUGGAGAAGUGACCAGGCCAGAUCAUCCAGGGCUGUGUAGCUAACAGCAAGGACUUGGGGUUUAUUCUAAGUGAGAUGGGACCUGAUGGAGGGGAGUUUCGACGGACUUUCGUUUUAUGGAGGAUGCAUUGCUCAAACAAAAGAGGCAAAAGGUAAAACUGCUAAUACUCAACUCGUGCUUCCCGAGAAUGUUGAUAACAUGGAAUCAAUAUAAUAUGUCCACGUCCUAUGGGUUUUUAUUUUAAGGAAAAGUAUGAGAUAAUUAUAAUGGUCAUGUUUAAAUUGAAGAAGAAGAUCCAAUCUUUGUGACUCCUUCAACUUUCAUCCUUCCCCCUUUAUUAGGUAACAGCAGUUUCCUUGUUUGGGGGAAUAUCUUCUUCCUC
Molecule: long non-coding RNA, 427 nt
Filed under: Sus scrofa (pig)
Lineage: Eukaryota; Metazoa; Chordata; Mammalia; Artiodactyla; Suidae
Description: lncRNA (ENSSSCG00025063754.1)
Source: RNAcentral